UGAAUACGAGACGCUAAGGCGUCGAAGUAGUGUAUGUCAUACUUCCAAGAAAAGCUUGCACUGUCAUAGAUAAAAAACGCCUGUACCAUAACCGACACAGGUGGGUAGGUAGAGUAUACUAAGGGGCGCGAGAUAACUCUCUCUAAGGAACUCGGCAAAAUAACUCCGUAACUUCGGGAGAAGGAGUGCCUUAUUAUUAAGGCUGCAAUAACAAGAUCCAAGCAACUGUUUAUCAAAAACACAGGUCUCCGCUAAGUCGUAAGACGAUGUAUGGGGGCUGACGCCUGCCCAGUGCCAGAAGGUUAAAGAAGUUGGUUAGCAUUUGCGAAGCUGAUAACUGAAGCCCUGGUGAACGGCGGCCGUAACAAUAACGGUCCUAAGGUAGCGAAAUUCCUUGUCGGGUAAGUUCCGACCCGCACGAAAGGCGUAAUGAUUUGGAUACUGUCUCGGAGAGGGGCUCGGUGAAAUAGACUUGUCUGUGAAGAUGCGGACUACCUGCACCAGGACAGAAAGACCCUAUGAAGCUUUACUGUAACUUGAAAUUGAAAUUGGACUUUAUUCGCGCAGCAUAGGUGGGAGGCGUUGAUUAUAAUCUUGUGGGAUUAUUGGAGCCAUCAGUGAGAUACCACUCUUGUAAUGUUAGAUUUCUAACUUUGAAUCAUUAUCUGGUCAAAGAACAGUUUCAGGCGGGCAGUUUGACUGGGGCGGUCGCCUCCUAAACGGUAACGGAGGCGUACAAAGGUUUCCUCUGAACGGUUAGAAAUCGUAUCUAGAGUGUAAAGGCAUAAGGAAGCUUGACUGUGAGACCUACAAGUCGAGCAGGGACGAAAGUCGGUCUUAGUGAUCUGACGGUACUGAGUGGAAAGGCCGUCACUCAACGGAUAAAAGUUACUCUAAGGAUAACAGGCUGAUCUCCCCCAAGAGUUCACAUCGACGGGGAGGUUUGGCACCUGGAUGUCGGCUCAUCGCAUCCUGGGGCGGUAGUACGUCCCAAGGGUUGGGCUGUUCGCCCAUGAAAGCGGUACGCGAGCUGGGUUCAGAACGUCGUGAGACAGUUCGGUCCAUAUCCGGUGUAGGCGUUAGAAUAUUGAGAGGAGCCUUUUUUAGUACGAGAGGACCGAGAAGGACAUACCUCUGGUGUACCAGUUAUCGUGCCAACGGUAAACGCUGGGUAGCUAUGUAUGGAGUGGAUAACCGCUGAAAGCAUCUAAGUGGGAAGCCCACCUCAAGAUAAGUAUUCUC
Molecule: ribosomal RNA, 1242 nt
Filed under: metagenome
Description: bacterial LSU rRNA
Rfam family: Bacterial large subunit ribosomal RNA
Source: RNAcentral